GGGCGGAUGGUUUAAUGGUAUAAUACUCCCUUAGCAAGGUUUAUUCACCGAGUUAUUUGGGAGUGGUUCGGGGUUCGAUUCCCCGUUCGUCCA
Metarhizium robertsii ARSEF 23 is the source of this 93-nucleotide non-coding RNA. The record is from Rfam. NCBI's taxonomy places the organism in Eukaryota, Fungi, Ascomycota, Sordariomycetes, Hypocreales, Clavicipitaceae.